CGGACUGCGGCGUGCUAUACAUGCAAGUCGAGCGGACAGAUGGGAGCUUGCUCCCUGAUGUUAGCGGCGGACGGGUGAGUAACACGUGGGUAACCUGCCUGUAAGACUGGGAUAACUCCGGGAAACCGGGGCUAAUACCGGAUGGUUGUUUGAACCGCAUGGUUCAAACAUAAAAGGUGGCUUCGGCUACCACUUACAGAUGGACCCGCGGCGCAUUAGCUAGUUGGUGAGGUAACGGCUCACCAAGGCAACGAUGCGUAGCCGACCUGAGAGGGUGAUCGGCCACACUGGGACUGAGACACGGCCCAGACUCCUACGGGAGGCAGCAGUAGGGAAUCUUCCGCAAUGGACGAAAGUCUGACGGAGCAACGCCGCGUGAGUGAUGAAGGUUUUCGGAUCGUAAAGCUCUGUUGUUAGGGAAGAACAAGUACCGUUCGAAUAGGGCGGUACCUUGACGGUACCUAACCAGAAAGCCACGGCUAACUACGUGCCAGCAGCCGCGGUAAUACGUAGGUGGCAAGCGUUGUCCGGAAUUAUUGGGCGUAAAGGGCUCGCAGGCGGUUUCUUAAGUCUGAUGUG
This 579-nucleotide ribosomal RNA is filed under the name Bacillus subtilis. RNAcentral's name for it is "bacterial SSU rRNA". It matches the Rfam family "Bacterial small subunit ribosomal RNA", at positions 30 to 596 of the family's 1533-position model. Lineage: Bacteria; Bacillati; Bacillota; Bacilli; Caryophanales; Bacillaceae. The record is from RNAcentral.